This is a long non-coding RNA of Catharus ustulatus (Swainson's thrush), 1834 nucleotides long. RefSeq lists it as uncharacterized. NCBI's taxonomy places the organism in Eukaryota, Metazoa, Chordata, Aves, Passeriformes, Turdidae. The record is from RefSeq and is a predicted model, not a curated record. The transcript has 2 exons.
CUCGGGGCUACCACGGGCUGGGCUCGGGGCUACCUGCCCGAGAUCCGGGGCUACCACGGGCUGGGCUCGGGGCUACCUGCCCGAGAUCCGGGGCUACCACGGGCUGGGCUCGGGGCUACCUGCUCGGGCUCGGGCCCCCCUGCCCGGGCUCUCAUCGCUCGCAGCCCCGGGGAGCCGGGAGGACGCGGCCGGAGCAGAAAAGAAGGAAUCCCAAUCUGGCAGCUGGCUGAGACUUCCCUGACCUCAACAUCUGGGAUCAAACUGACCUGGGCUGGAAACUUUGUGCCACAGGCUGCUGUUCCUGCAGUGCCUGGGAUCAAACCUCACUGCUGAGCCUCAAACCCCACUGCUGAGGCUCCAACCUCACUGCAGAGCCUCCUCUGAUAUCAAACCCCACUGCUGAGCCUCCCCUGGGAUCAAACUUCACUGCUGAGCCUCAAACUCCACUGCUGAGGCUCCAACCUUGCUGCAGAGCCUCCUCUGAUAUCAAACCCCACUGCUGAGCCUCCAGUCUCACUGCUGAGGCUCCCCUGACAUCAAACCCCACUGCUGAGGCUCCCCCAUGCUUGCAGAACCUGCAGAACCCAAAGGAAACGCUGGCUCCUGGAUGCCCCAGUCCUAAUCGUCCUUCUGCAGGAAUUGUGAGAACACUCCCCAGUCCCAAUGAGGCCCAGGUUCCAGGAGGCUCCUGCAGCUGCACUUUUGGCCUCAGCAGAUGAUGAGAGCUUUGCUGAGCUCAACUGCACCAGGGACACGGAGAGGGAGCAGCUGGAGGGGUCCCUGUCCUCCACCAUCGCCCUCAUUGUCGUGCUGCUCCUCAUCUCCUCCCUGCUCAUCACAUCCCUCAUCACCUACUGCUUCCACAAGUGGAAACUCCGAGGGAAAAGACUGCAGAAAGCACAAGAGGAGUACCAGAGAGACCAAGAAAAGAGCAUUUGCCAAAGCACACCUGGGCUUGUUUCAUAAAAAGAGGAAAGCCAGGAUCCACCAUGAAGUACUCUUGAAUUAUCUGGAAGUGGAAAUCAUGAGAGAACUGCAAAUUUGAGAUUUCCAAGCAAAUGCAUUCUUGUUUUAUCUCAUUUCUAAGAGUUGUUAGCAGUUUGGAGAUUUCCUACAGCUUUAUUAUACAUAUAUAUAUAUAUAUAUAUUUAUACAUUUAGUCUCAUUUGUGCAAAGUAAAACCAAUGCAAUGAUGUAUUUUUAAUCUCUUCUGUCCUUUGAAUCCUCGCUGGGAAAAUUGUGGCAGUGCCUGUGAGGGUGGGGAGGCCUGGAAUAGAAUUCCCAGAGCAGCUGUGGCUGUUCCUGGAUCCCUGGAAGUGUCCAAGGCCAGGCUGGAUCACCUGGGACAGUGGGAUGAAUUUUUGGGUCCAUUCCAACCCUAACCACAAUUUUCUGUGUAUUACUGAACCAGCACAUUUCAAUCUGCUGCUCUCACUCUUUCCAAAACCCACUGGAAGGUGGAGAGGCAGAUUUGGGGGAUCCCAAAGCAGGGGAGUUGUGCUGCACUGAUCCCAGCAGGGCUUGGAAUCCCCUGGGACCAGCUGGUGCUGCCAGGCUGCUCCUGAAGGUGACAUUUCCAUCUUUACUUCACAGCAGAGAGCUGCUCAGCAUUGUGGCAUUGCCACAAGUGGAUGGAACUCGACUCCCAAGGGAAGGUGCAGCCUAAACCUCUUUUUUACAACUCCUUUUUAAAUCACACUACCACAGUGUGUUUCUAUUUCCACAGCCUGUCCUGUGAUGUCACAGAAAAAUGACAGAUUUAUUGUGAGCAGCACUUGUAAGUAAUCUUUUCUAAUCAAGUGAUGGGUGUAAUAUGAAUAAAUGUCAUUGUUUU